This 442-nucleotide ribosomal RNA is filed under the name uncultured bacterium. Its description in RNAcentral is "bacterial SSU rRNA". It matches the Rfam family "Bacterial small subunit ribosomal RNA", at positions 29 to 512 of the family's 1533-position model. The record is from RNAcentral.
AACGAACGCUGGCGGCAGGCUUAACACAUGCAAGUCGAACGGGUGCAGCAAUGCAUCAGUGGCAGACGGGUGAGUAACACGUGGGAACCUUCCUAGGGGUACGGAACAACUCAGGGAAACUUGAGCUAAUACCGUAUACGUCCGUGAGGAGAAAAGAUUUAUCGCCCUUAGACGGGCCCGCGUCGGAUUAGCUAGUUGGUGGGGUAACGGCCUACCAAGGCGACGAUCCGUAGCUGAUCUUAGAGGAUGAUCAGCCACACUGGGACUGAGACACGGCCCAGACUCCUACGGGAGGCAGCAGUGGGGAAUCUUGGACAAUGGGCGCAAGCCUGAUCCAGCCAUGCCGCGUGAGUGAAGAAGGUCUUUCGGAUUUGUAAAGCUCUUUUGCCAGGGACGAUAAUGACGGUACCUGGAGAAUAAGCCCGGCAAACUUCGUGCCAGC